CCUACGGGAGGCUGCAGUGAGGAAUAUUGGUCAAUGGACGCAAGUCUGAACCAGCCAUGCCGCGUGCAGGAAGACGGCUCUAUGAGUUGUAAACUGCUUUUGUACGAGGGUAAACGCAGAUACGCGUAUCUGUCUGAAAGUAUCGUACGAAUAAGGAUCGGCUAACUCCGUGCCAGCAGCCGCGGUAAUACGGAGGAUUCAAGCGUUAUCCGGAUUUAUUGGGUUUAAAGGGUGCGCAGGCGGGAGAUCAAGUCAGCGGUAAAAUGUCGGGGCUCAACCCCGGCCGGCCGGUGAAACUGGUUUUCGAGAGUUAGAGAGAAGUAUGCGGAAUUCGUGGUGUAGCGGUGAAAUGCAUAGAUAUCACGAAGAACUCCGAUUGCGAAGGCAGCAUACCGGCUCCAUACUGACGCUGAGGCACGAAAGCGUGGGGAUCGAACAGGAUUAGAUACCCGUGUAGUC
This 459-nucleotide ribosomal RNA is filed under the name uncultured bacterium. RNAcentral describes it as "partial 16S ribosomal RNA". It matches the Rfam family "Bacterial small subunit ribosomal RNA", at positions 338 to 795 of the family's 1533-position model. The record is from RNAcentral.